RNA transcript from Cebus imitator (Panamanian white-faced capuchin), 2556 nucleotides. It is a transcript of the gene named CCR4-NOT transcription complex subunit 7-like, with no coding region annotated. The record is from RefSeq and is a predicted model, not a curated record. The transcript has a single exon. NCBI's taxonomy places the organism in Eukaryota, Metazoa, Chordata, Mammalia, Primates, Cebidae.
AGCUCCUGCUCACCUUUCCCCCUUACUGGGCGAGAGGUGUCUAUGGGGCACCCACUGCCACCACCACUGCUACCGCCACUGGAUGCUGUCUCUAUGGCGAGAAGGAGGAGGAGGAGCAUGAGCUCAGCGACACAAGUACAUAAAUAAAGAGUACAAUAUUUUAUGAAACAAAUCUUCAACCAAGUAUAACAUUUUGAUGCUUGGCAUCUAGACUCCCUUGUGCCCUCACUAUGCCAGCAGCAACUGUAGAUCAUAGCCAAAGAAUUUGUGAAGUUUGGGCUUGCAGCUUGGAUGAAGAGAUGAAGAAAACUCCUCAAGUUAUCCAAAAAUAUAAUUACGUUGCUGUGGACACUGAAUUUCCAGGUGUGGUUGCAAGACCCAUUGGAGAAUUCAGGAGCAAUGCCAACUACUGCAAUGUAAUGUAGACUUGUUAAAGAUAAUUCAGCUAGGACUGACAUUUAUGAAUGAGCAAGAAUACCCUCCAGGAACUCCAACAUGGUAGUUGAAUUUUAAAUUUAAUUUGACGGAAGACAUGUAUGCCCAGGACUCUACAGAGCUACUAACAACAUGUGAUAUCCAGCUUAAAAAACAUGAGGAGGAAGGAAUUGAGACCCAGUACUUUGCAGAACUUCUUACGACUUCAGGAGUGGUCCUCUGUGAAGGGGUCAAAUGGUUGUCAUUUCAUAGCGGUUACAACUUUGGCUAUUUAAUAAAAAUCCUGACCAACUCUAACUUGCCUGAAGAAGAACUUGACUUCUUUAAUAUCCUUCAAUUGCUUUUUUUCCUGUCAUUUAUGAUGUGAUGUACCUUAUGAAGAGCUGCAAAAAUCUCAAAGGUGGAUUACAGAAGUGGCAGAACAGUUAGAGCUGGAACAGACAGGACCACAACAUCAGGCAGGAUCUGAUGCAUUGCUCAUAGGAAUGGCCUUUUUCAAAACGAGAGAAAUGUUCUUUGAAGAUCGUAUUGAUUAUGCCAAACAUUAUGGUCAUUUGUACAGCCUUGGUUCUGGUUCAUCCUAUGUACAGAAUGGCACAGGGAAUGCAUAUGAAGAGGAAGCCAACAAGCAGUCAUGACAUGAAAUAGUCCUUUUAUUUUCAUUUCAAGCUACACACAUGCUUGUACAUAGGUUUUAUCUCUGGUUGAAUCCCUUGAACAAUAGACAGUGCCUUUCCCCUGCCCCUUUCAUGGCCCAUUUUAUUGUCUCCCUUUCAGUACUAAGUAUGACCAUUCCUAUCUCAGAUCUUAAUUAAAAAAAUGCAUUCAGGUUAAAUUUGGCCUUAAUAUACUUGUUAGCAAGCAUGUGUGACAGAGAGUGGGGAAAGCUACAUCACUGAAUAUUUUGAUAAACUUUACCUACUUGAGUUUGGUUUAUUUUUCCCUUUUCCUAAAUUAACUAGCACUGACUGUAAUUUAUUUCCCUGUUUCAUGUCUCUCCCUUCCAUUCUGCAGGAGUUUUAGCUAUUUGAGGUUGUGGACCAUCAAUCUUCCACUUUAGAGAUUGAUUCUGACUCAAAACCUCUGUUUUAUCAGAAAUUUUGUUUUUUCUUGAUCUUAGCUGGAAAAAUGACCAUCUGCCAACUUUACACAGUAUUUACUUGGUUUUGACCCACAUUAUAUAGCACAUUCAUUGUGCUGACUGUCAAUUCAACAAAACUAAAAAAGACAAGAAACUACUGAGGAGCUUAGUAACUGCUGUUUCUGUACAUAGUGUCUAAUCUUCCAAGCAUACCUAAUGUCUGUCAGUUUCUAACUGGCAUGUGUAGGCUGCUCUGUGACUGAAGAAUUUUCAAACCAGCUUUACACCCUUCAGGAAAAAUCCCUUGUGAUUGGAUGUUUAGUAUCUGCCAGGAAACUGGUACUCAAGAUGUUGAAGCUACAGUUAUUUUAUGAUAGCACACUUCCCUUGAUCUGCUUAUUUUUAUUCCAUCACUGUUUACCCUUGUUUUUUUUUUUGUAGCCAUACUUAUGAUACUAUUGAUUUGUUGGUUACACAAAUCAACUUUAUUAAAAUCCAAAGAUAACAAGUCUUUAAGUAUAUUUUGUACCAAAUUAAAUUAGAAAAUAAAAAUUGUGCUUUCGUAGUUGCUACAAAAGUAAAUAAUGGAGAGAUUUGGUACAAAACAACAAAAUACAAAAUAUAUAUAUAUUCUCAUAUAUAUAUAUAAAAUAAAAUUACCUGAGGAGUAUAAUGCUUAUUUUUUGUGCAUAUCUUAGCAGUCUAUUUUAUAUAUAUUGACAAAAGGGACUGUGAAAUAUUUAGCCAUGCAGAAUAUGUGACCAGACCAGAGCAUGUGUAGGAAGACUUUUCGGUAAUCUUAACUCUACCUUGAAAUGAUGGACUACAAGUUAUAAUAUUUGUUACCUACACUUACAAUCAGUAAUAUUAGCAAAUCUCCAAAUUGGUUUGUCUUUCUUGUACAUUCUUUAUUCGUGAUAUUACAGUGCUGUAACUGGGUGGUCCUUUUUAAACAAAACAUUAUUUGCAAAACAGAGGGUAUUAUUUGUUUGUAAAGCUUUUGUAAAUAAAGACUUCAAAAAUGUUUUCUCAUAAAAAAA